CGGACGGGUGAGUAACGCGUGGGUAACCUGCCUCAUACAGGGGGAUAGCAGCUGGAAACGGCUGGUAAUACCGCAUAAGCGCACAGUACCACAUGGUACAGUGUGAAAAACUCCGGUGGUAUGAGAUGGACCCGCGUCUGAUUAGCUAGUUGGCGGGGUAACGGCCCACCAAGGCGACGAUCAGUAGCCGGCCUGAGAGGGUGAACGGCCACAUUGGGACUGAGACACGGCCCAA
This 235-nucleotide ribosomal RNA is filed under the name uncultured bacterium. RNAcentral's name for it is "partial 16S ribosomal RNA". It matches the Rfam family "Bacterial small subunit ribosomal RNA", at positions 99 to 334 of the family's 1533-position model. The record is from RNAcentral.